GUGAGUAACGCGUGGGAACGUACUUUGGUUCGGGACAACCCAGGGAAACUUGGGCUAGUACGGAUAAGCUUACGGAAAGAUUCGCCGAAAGAUCGGCCCGCGUCUGAUUAGCUAGUUGGUGAGGUAAUGGCUCACCAAGGCGACGAUCAGUAGCUGGUCUGAGAGGAUGAUCAGCCACAUUGGGACUGAGACACGGCCCAAACUCCUAUUGGAGGCAGCAGUGGGGAAUAUUGGACAAUGGGCGCAAGCCUGAUCCAGCCAUGCCGCGUGAGUGAUGAAGGCCCUAGGGUUGUAAAGCUCUUUUGUGCGGGAAGAUUGACGGUACCGCCAGAAUAAGCCCCGGCUAACUUCGUGCCAGCAGCCGCGGUAAUACCAAGGGGGCUAGCGUUGCUCGGAAUCACUGGGCG
Molecule: ribosomal RNA, 407 nt
Filed under: uncultured soil bacterium
Lineage: Bacteria
Description: bacterial SSU rRNA
Rfam family: Bacterial small subunit ribosomal RNA
Source: RNAcentral